AAGUAUUCAUCAUCAAAUUUCAGAACUGCAGCUGUCCCAUUUCUGGAAGUUGAAGAACAUUAUUUGCCUAUCUAAGGAAGCAGUAAGAAAAGGAUGGAAGAGAUUGUGGUCAAGACUGAAAUACUGUUGAUGAUGCAUAGGUGCCUGUGGAAUGACUGGACUGCAUCUUAUUUUACGUGCUAAGUUCAGACAAAUCUGUGGUUUUCACCUUCCCAUACACAAUCCAUAAAUUUCAGAAAGGCAAACUGCAACAGAAACACUUCAUACAGGCAAUCCAGAAAAUUAUUUCACCAAAAAAAUUAAGCCCUGAUAUUUUGCACAAUUGUAUAUUUUCAAUGAUAUUUUCUUGUCACUUUUACUUUGAGUAUUUCUGGGACAAACAUUUUCCUUUCAAGGAUGAUUUUCAUUAUUUUUUUCUCAAACAACUACAAAGAAUUUAAACAGGAAUAAUUCAUUCAAGUAAUGCAUGCUUGUAUUUAUUCAAACACAUUAGAAUUCCC
Molecule: long non-coding RNA, 500 nt
Filed under: Phasianus colchicus (ring-necked pheasant)
Lineage: Eukaryota; Metazoa; Chordata; Aves; Galliformes; Phasianidae
Description: lncRNA (ENSPCLG00000020448.1)
Source: RNAcentral